GGAACCCGACUGCCUAAUGUUGCUGGGGCGAUCGACUGUACUCCGAGAUCAUCCGACCUACUAGACUGGACGGCGAGAGCUACUACGACCGGAAGCAGCGGUACUCGGUCACCUUGCAAGGGGUUUGUGAUGCCCAGAAGAGGUUCCUCAGUGUCUACGCUGGGUAGCCAGGUAUGUUUCUUUGUGUGUUGUGGAUGGUUCUAAAAUGUUCUUUUUGCUUUCAGGACGCGUCCACGACAUGAGGGUUUUUCGUAAUUCAACCCUCAGGAACAAGAUUGUAGCAAGGGAGCUGCUGACAUUGCCUGCGGUGUUAGCAUAUGA
This 321-nucleotide long non-coding RNA is filed under the name Selaginella moellendorffii. RNAcentral's name for it is "long non-coding RNA (SMOE_LNC001336)". The record is from RNAcentral. Lineage: Eukaryota; Viridiplantae; Streptophyta; Lycopodiopsida; Selaginellales; Selaginellaceae.